GCGUGUGGCGCCCUCCAUCAACAGUGCAAUUCCUAAUUACCGUAUUGUUGCUGUUAUUGACGACAGAUCUGUAUUUUGGCCUUAUUUUUUCACCUUUUUCCUAUAAUUAAUUACCGGAUCAAUCGAUUGUAAAAACAAUUGGGCUUUGGUGACGUUAAUUAAGACAUGUUCUGGUUAUUAAUUAUUACACUAUUGGCGAAUGCCAAUUCCGCGGCAGCAUCUCAUGGAUUCGAUUUCGGUGAUACUUUGGCAUUAAUUAUUGGACUUGUUAUCGGGAUCGUUGGAUUUUUCGCCUGCAUGGGGGCUUAUGCACGAAGAAAGACUCGAUAUGAUUCUAUUUGAAGAUCAGGUUAUGCAGACGUAUUUUUUUAUGCUGCCCAGGGGAUGGACAUCGAGAGAACGAUAACUUUCCACGUAAUCGUAAUCAUCCGGAAUCAUCGAUGAAUAAUCAACAUUUAAGGAUAUAGAGUCGAAAAUAAAGUAUAAGCAUCGAUCUACAAUUUUAUACGCCGGAUAAACCUCAUAAUUUAUAAUAAAUAAUUAUGAAUUUUUUGUAACUAGAUAGAAUAAACUAAGAUGUAUAUUUUACGUCAUUUUAUACAAUGUAUAUUUCGACCUUGAAGUGAAUUCGAUUUACUCGAAGAACGGAGAAGACAAAGUAAAUUGAUAGAGACAAUUGAUACUUCGCAGUGAGUUUAAAAAAUAUUUUUAAAAUCAACAGAAGGACUGGUAUAGUUAUUAGUUAAUUUUUAAUUUGAGCUUCUCCCAUUUAUUCCAGAACCGCAUGGAAAGUUGCAGAUUUUUUUGCAACUCGAGAACAAAGUAAUAAUUUUUAAAAAAUACAAUUUAACCCGCGUCUUUACGGGGAAGUCCCGAAAUAUUUGGAUACAUUCGGUAAAUUCUAAUAUUUUAUAAUUUUAUAUAUUUAUAUAAUAUUUUGUUGUAUAAUAUUUUCUUUUUGCGAAGAAAUUGUCUUUACUAAAAUUAAAUUUUCCUAUAGGCAUGGACCUUUCGUUAUUUGUUGUCAAUGGAAUUGAUUGAGAGAGGGAAAAAAUAUUCAUAAUCCAUGAAGGAAUGAUCUGUCGCAUAUCAAGGUCGACCUGCUUUUUUUAUUACCAUUACAACACUACAAUUAUUAAAAUUCCCAAAAUUAAAUAAGAAUAACAGUCUUGAUUCAGUCACAUUUUUUCGGACGAACGUGAAUUGUAUCUUGUAGAAAUUAUUACCUACGAAGACCAGAACUAAAAUAUGACGGCAAUAGUCGCUCUUCUGAUUUAAAUAAUAAAUAGUUAAAAGUCAGAACAAAAAUUAAAUAAAAAGACCGAAUGAAAUUCACAAUAAAACAGUUAAAUAAAUUGAUUAAACUGAACAUUAAAAUAAUUUUCAAUAGAAAUAUCCGAAAACGAUAGAAACAAUACAUUAUGAAAAUAUUACUCAACAUAAAGAACAAAAACUGAACAAAAAAACGCUUUCACUAAAAUGGAUAAACUCUAGUUGAAUUGAAUUGAGGAUAUUUAUCAACAAUUCAACGGAAUUGCAAAACCUAAUGGAAGAGAGUGUCAUAUUGCACAUUAACUUCGGUGGAGAGACAUUUGAAAUUUACAGAGAAAUUGAAAAAUCUUUUAUCUGCAAAGUAAGGCCCUAUAAUACUUCUAAUGGAAUUUUUCUGUUGAGGGAAAAUGUGGAUUGUUAAAGUUGGAAAAUGCCAUUGCAUCAGGCCCCACAUCAUCAGAAUUCAUAAAAUCUUUAGAAUUCCCUAUAAAAAUUUCUAUAGGACAAUCUCAUGAAGAAUUUCUGACAUAUUCUACAGAAAAAGUUAUCCGAAUUAUGGACACGAAUUUUCCUAAACCAUCACGACAUUUUCAUUAUUAUAAACAAGCACAAUAAAAUAUAUAUAAAUAAAAAGUAGUUUCGAUUCAGAAUAUUGAAAAAUAGAACAUGAAUAUCGCCUCAAUAUUUUUAACUGGUUUUUUUUUAAUAUAAAAUCACAUUAUCUGUAGAAUACUUUGGAAUUCUCUCAUUGGAAAAAUUCAUAUCGGAAAUUCUAGAGGAUUAUCCUAUUGCCAUUUUUAAUUCGUGUUUAAUUCGUUUUCACAGCUGCAUUCAUCGGACCAGCGAACCAUAAAAAAAAGAAGGAAAAAAGGUCAUACAAUUCAGUAUAGUAUGUAAUAAAGGAGCGAAAAUAUGGGUAUAUCUAACUAGUAACACAUCUUAUUGGUUUUCUUUAAUUGAAGUAAUUUUUAAAAUUGCUAGAAAAUACAUUAAAGCAUAACAGUGACUAUAUUUAAUCGUCCUCAUACAUUCAUUCAUCUCGCACUCAUAAAAAAAAACAUUAUGGUCAUUCGUACAUCUUUAAUUAGCUCUCAAGAUAAACGAAAUCUAUCAAGCACUCAUUAUCUCAUUAUUUAAAAACACUUUUACACUUACAUUUUUUUUUUUUCUCCGAGGAUAAUGGCGAAUUGUUCAUAAGCCAUUUCGAUCGUAAGGACUAGUUGAGGCCUGCACAAAUCAUGAAUCAUACCUUCUUUCAAUUGAAAACGAAAAAAAAAAAACUAAUUUAUCAGUUUUACCGAAAGAAAAAAAAA
Molecule: long non-coding RNA, 2585 nt
Organism: Fopius arisanus
Lineage: Eukaryota; Metazoa; Arthropoda; Insecta; Hymenoptera; Braconidae
Exons: 3
Source: RefSeq, a predicted model, not a curated record